This is a non-coding RNA of Pelobates cultripes (western spadefoot toad), 357 nucleotides long. NCBI's taxonomy places the organism in Eukaryota, Metazoa, Chordata, Amphibia, Anura, Pelobatidae. The record is from the annotation of a GenBank genome assembly.
CUAGCGUUGCUUAAACAAAGUGUUUUUACACCUAAAUAGCAGAGAAUUGAGUGAUAAGAUUGUAGGGGCAUGAUCUGUACACCAAAACCACUUAAUUAAUCUUAAGUUUUUUAGUGCUUUAAGCCUGGCCACUCUAAGGUCUGGUAAUAAUUAUUUCUAUCCUUUCCCAUUUUUACUGGUUGGUAGGUACUAACUUAUUUUGCUGAUGUUCCUCUCAUAUCCUCACAUUACUAAAAAAACAGCAUAGCUUUAUUAGAGCAAAGAAGUGCCAAAGGGCGGGGGAAGGCAAGCAUGCCCAAUGUAACAGUUAUUUAUUUCUUGAGGUUCACUUGUUCCUUUCAAUGCCUGCGAUUACCU